AAGGCGCGCGAUACAGGGUGACAGCCCCGUACACAAAAAUGCACAUGCUGUGAGCUCGAUGAGUAGGGCGGGACACGUGGUAUCCUGUCUGAAUAUGGGGGGACCAUCCUCCAAGGCUAAAUACUCCUGACUGACCGAUAGUGAACCAGUACCGUGAGGGAAAGGCGAAAAGAACCCCGGCGAGGGGAGUGAAAAAGAACCUGAAACCGUGUACGUACAAGCAGUGGGAGCACGCUUAGGCGUGUGACUGCGUACCUUUUGUAUAAUGGGUCAGCGACUUAUAUUCUGUAGCAAGGUUAACCGAAUAGGGGAGCCGAAGGGAAACCGAGUCUUAACUGGGCGUUAAGUUGCAGGGUAUAGACCCGAAACCCGGUGAUCUAGCCAUGGGCAGGUUGAAGGUUGGGUAACACUAACUGGAGGACCGAACCGACUAAUGUUGAAAAAUUAGCGGAUGACUUGUGGCUGGGGGUGAAAGGCCAAUCAAACCGGGAGAUAGCUGGUUCUCCCCGAAAGCUAUUUAGGUAGCGCCUCGUGAAUUCAUCUCCGGGGGUAGAGCACUGUUUCGGCAAGGGGGUCAUCCCGACUUACCAACCCGAUGCAAACUGCGAAUACCGGAGAAUGUUAUCACGGGAGACACACGGCGGGUGCUAACGUCCGUCGUGAAGAGGGAAACAACCCAGACCGCCAGCUAAGGUCCCAAAGUCAUGGUUAAGUGGGAAACGAUGUGGGAAGGCCCAGACAGCCAGGAUGUUGGCUUAGAAGCAGCCAUCAUUUAAAGAAAGCGUAAUAGCUCACUGGUCGAGUCGGCCUGCGCGGAAGAUGUAACGGGGCUAAACCAUGCACCGAAGCUGCGGCAGCGACGCUUAUGCGUUGUUGGGUAGGGGAGCGUUCUGUAAGCCUGUGAAGGUGUGCUGUGAGGCAUGCUGGAGGUAUCAGAAGUGCGAAUGCUGACAUAAGUAACGAUAAAGCGGGUGAAAAGCCCGCUCGCCGGAAGACCAAGGGUUCCUGUCCAACGUUAAUCGGGGCAGGGUGAGUCGACCCCUAAGGCGAGGCCGAAAGGCGUAGUCGAUGGGAAACAGGUUAAUAUUCCUGUACUUGGUGUUACUGCGAAGGGGGGACGGAGAAGGCUAUGUUGGCCGGGCGACGGUUGUCCCGGUUUAAGCGUGUAGGCUGGUUUUCCAGGCAAAUCCGGAAAAUCAAGGCUGAGGCGUGAUGACGAGGCACUACGGUGCUGAAGCAACAAAUGCCCUGCUUCCAGGAAAAGCCUCUAAGCAUCAGGUAACAUCAAAUCGUACCCCAAACCGACACAGGUGGUCAGGUAGAGAAUACCAAGGCGCUUGAGAGAACUCGGGUGAAGGAACUAGGCAAAAUGGUGCCGUAACUUCGGGAGAAGGCACGCUGAUAUGUAGGUGAAGUCCCUCGCGGAUGGAGCUGAAAUCAGUCGAAGAUACCAGCUGGCUGCAACUGUUUAUUAAAAACACAGCACUGUGCAAACACGAAAGUGGACGUAUACGGUGUGACGCCUGCCCGGUGCCGGAAGGUUAAUUGAUGGGGUCAGCGCAAGCGAAGCUCUUGAUCGAAGCCCCGGUAAACGGCGGCCGUAACUAUAACGGUCCUAAGGUAGCGAAAUUCCUUGUCGGGUAAGUUCCGACCUGCACGAAUGGCGUAAUGAUGGCCAGGCUGUCUCCACCCGAGACUCAGUGAAAUUGAACUCGCUGUGAAGAUGCAGUGUACCCGCGGCAAGACGGAAAGACCCCGUGAACCUUUACUAUAGCUUGACACUGAACAUUGAGCCUUGAUGUGUAGGAUAGGUGGGAGGCUUAGAAGUGUGGACGCCAGUCUGCAUGGAGCCGACCUUGAAAUACCACCCUUUAAUGUUUGAUGUUCUAACGUUGACCCGUAAUCCGGGUUGCGGACAGUGUCUGGUGGGUAGUUUGACUGGGGCGGUCUCCUCCUAAAGAGUAACGGAGGAGCACGAAGGUUGGCUAAUCCUGGUCGGACAUCAGGAGGUUAGUGCAAUGGCAUAAGCCAGCUUGACUGCGAGCGUGACGGCGCGAGCAGGUGCGAAAGCAGGUCAUAGUGAUCCGGUGGUUCUGAAUGGAAGGGCCAUCGCUCAACGGAUAAAAGGUACUCCGGGGAUAACAGGCUGAUACCGCCCAAGAGUUCAUAUCGACGGCGGUGUUUGGCACCUCGAUGUCGGCUCAUCACAUCCUGGGGCUGAAGUAGGUCCCAAGGGUAUGGCUGUUCGCCAUUUAAAGUGGUACGCGAGCUGGGUUUAGAACGUCGUGAGACAGUUCGGUCCCUAUCUGCCGUGGGCGCUGGAGAACUGAGGGGGGCUGCUCCUAGUACGAGAGGACCGGAGUGGACGCAUCACUGGUGUU
RNAcentral lists this ribosomal RNA (2381 nucleotides) under Escherichia coli. Its description in RNAcentral is "partial 23S ribosomal RNA". It matches the Rfam family "Bacterial large subunit ribosomal RNA", at positions 347 to 2716 of the family's 2925-position model. Lineage: Bacteria; Pseudomonadati; Pseudomonadota; Gammaproteobacteria; Enterobacterales; Enterobacteriaceae. The record is from RNAcentral.